CCAACACUACUAGGAAAUUCCAUCUUACUCGAUUGUUUCUUGGGGAUAUUUGGUAUUUUUCUUUGAUACUUUAUUGUUUUUCAUUAUUUUGAUGUUAUCUGAGGACUCAUAUACAUAUCAGGAACUGUACAAGCUUUGGGACAGAAGCAGGAGGCUCUAGGAUCUGAUUUCAUUGUGAUUUUCAUCAUGGUCUUUGGUAGGAUUAUUCCCAUUCCCCCCAUGUGGUGGUUUACUUGGAGAUUCGUCUUUCCCCCAGAACGUUGUUUAAUGUUGGUGGAUCUUGGAGGAUCUUGUUUAUCAUAUUUUUAUGGUAUUUCCUUAAUAUCACACCUAUUAAAAUAUAAUCUUUUAUUUUAGGCAACCUUCUGAGCAAGGAGAGCUACUACGGAAGACUAGGACUUAGGGCAUGGGAUUACUUCUAAUUAAAAUCUGGAACCAUCAGGAACAUAUCAACGACAUCUGUCUCCCGUCUUAGCAUCCUUGUGGUUAGCUUGGAGCUGGAUUAUAAUCCGAAUCAUUUAAGAAGUAUGCAGGAAACAGUUUAGUUUUGAGCCAGAGGUUUUAGACAACUCAUGUAACCUUGAUUCUAGACCAAUUGGCUUUAUUUCAGAGCUUCUUUUGGGAUCUUAAUGUAAUAUACCAUCUUUAAAGAAGUCUUGCUAAGUACCACCAUGAAGUUUAGAUCAUAGAGCUCCCCAAAAAUGCUCCACAGAGUCCUCCGCAGUUUCCACACAGUCAGGACCUCCCCAAUGGAACUAUAGACCUGCUGUUAACCGGAUAUUACGGAGACUUUGACCCACAAGCCCAUGGAAACCCAAAACCCAGGACAGCUUUUGAUCUUAUUGCAUUUAUGUGAUCGUAUCAGCUGCCAAACACUUUUCACAGCUGAACAACUGCCGGCGUCGUCAUCUGGUCCUAAUCCUUGGGCCAAAACGCCCGGCCAUGGCAGGGCAGGCAUGAAUAUCCUUGUAAAUGAAAACAUUUGUUGCCAUUUUCUAUCGGCGGCCAGCCAUCUAGGCAAUUUUGUCGACAGAUUAAAAUGCGGCCAAAAAUGAAAAACUAAAAACUAAAAACCGGCGAGGAAAUCAAAAAUAGGGAUUUAUUUUGCUUAUCAGCGAUGAGAAUUUGAGGCGGCGCUGCGAAAAGGACAACAAGGACUCGAUGAAUUUGUCACAUUAACCGAGGGCCGAGGGCAUGUAGUUGCGAUAAGAUCAGCUCAUCCGAUCGACAGAAUUUGGCUACUGUUUCGGUGGUGAUUUCCCUUCAUAUUUUCGCCGAUUGGCGAGAUGGCAGUGGCAGUGGCCGUGGCAGUGGUGGUGUGUAAUUGGCAGGAUAUUAGCAGGGGUUGAUCUCGCUGCUCAUGCUGUUGAUGUCCUGCCAGCGGUCCAGUCAACGGAUUACGUCGGGCAUUAUGAGCAAAUUAAGUGUGAAGUGGCAUUUGGGACUCAGGACUCGGGACUCGGGACUCGUUCGAAAGCCUAAGCGCUUUAAAAUCGAGGGAAAAUGGAAAAACUAACAACGAAAAUGUUGACAAAAGGUGUCACAUGUCAAGCACUUGGCAAGGGCUCGGCCAGGACCUUCCAGUGACCCUCCCCUUCGGGGGAAAAUCUCUCUCGGAAUCGCAUCAAAAGGAAGCAAACACAAUCGGAAUAAAAAUGAAAAACAAACUAACAUUUAACCCCAUAGUGCCCUUCUUUGCACUGCCCUGCCCCAUCACGAAAUCCACCCACUCAGAAGCCGAAAGCUUAUCAUUUACACUUAACGGUUUACGCAGGAGGCACGUGCCGGUGCAUUAUUAACCGCAAAAUGCUCAUAAAGGAUCAAUUUGUGCGCACACGUGUCCAGGAUAAUGCCCGAGAACGGUGGGUGCCGGCGGGACGAAGCGUGAAGUGCACAUAAAUCAAAGCAGCGGCUGCCAAAUGGACAAAGAUGAUGACAAGCCGGAGGAGGAAUGGAUAGUGGAGGAUAGGACACCGCUCAGGACACCGCACAGGACUGCAGGCACUGCGAAGGAAAUGCAAUUUAAAGCGGCGGGCCCAUCGAGAAAAGGAAGCCAUUAGAAAUGCAAAAAGGAUCUGCGGCACGGGUGUGUGAAACGCCGGAAGCCCUGAAGAUUUAUGUCCGAGAAUCCUGCCGCAAGGAUACGCCUAUUAGGAAGCUAUUCCGCAAGCCAAAUGCCAAAUAGAUUUUAAUUAGAAGUGGGAUGCGAUUUAGUGGGAAAGUAAUCUAUAAAUUGUUCUAUAAAUUAAUUCAAGAAAUUGUAGCUAAGAACUAUGUGAUAGAAAGUGGGGUUGGAAGAUGUCCUUAAGAGUCCCUUAUCUUAUGUAUUUAUAUCUUAUGGAUUUCUUAUAGAAUAUCCCUUAUUUUCCCACAUCUAUCUCAUCCUUAAACUCCUUUAUUUAUCUUCUAAAAGAGCUACUGAACUUUGAUAUUUUCCCAUUGAUUUCUCAACUAAUUUUGAAGAUAAUUUCAUAUGAAAGUAUCUAUAAGAUAGCAUUGCUGUUGGCUGUGAGGCUUAUGUUUUUACCAUUUCAUGGCAAUUUGCAAUUUCCAAUUAUAACGCAAUCCGAUUGCGUGCCACAAAUGACAAGCUUUUACGAAUUCGCGAUGCGAUCCCUUGAAAUUAUGAUUUCAUAUGCGAUUGGAGGACGUCCUGGAAGGGAGAGCAAGGAACUGUGCACCCACACGGGAAGGAGCUGGCCAGGACAGGACUGGACAGGAAAUCAAGCGAAUGAUGAGCCAAAAUUAUGCCCUGACCUGACCACAUCCUAACCAAUUAUGGUCAUUAAAUUGGCAUUUGAAAUUCAGAGAGCCGAAGGAGUCGAGCGAACAAAUUCCAGUCUGUUCGACUAUUUAAUUUCGAUUUAAUUCGGCGGGCCGGCGGUUCUGUACUCCCCUGCUCCCUGUUCCCUGUUCCCUGCUCAGUGGAGCAGAAUGUGAAU
Drosophila ananassae is the source of this 2942-nucleotide long non-coding RNA. RefSeq lists it as uncharacterized. Lineage: Eukaryota; Metazoa; Arthropoda; Insecta; Diptera; Drosophilidae. The record is from RefSeq and is a predicted model, not a curated record. The transcript is spliced from 3 exons.